Non-coding RNA from Paramormyrops kingsleyae, 3085 nucleotides. NCBI's taxonomy places the organism in Eukaryota, Metazoa, Chordata, Actinopteri, Osteoglossiformes, Mormyridae. The record is from RefSeq and is a predicted model, not a curated record.
UAACUUGCUUAUUAAAACAAAAUAUUACACUAAAAUAAAAAUGCUAUAGUACUGUAUAUCGUAGUGACAUUAAACUAAUUGUCCGCUAACUUAUUCAUAAUGCUGAUUUAUACCGUUCGCAAUGACGUUUGACUGUAAGCAGGCUAUCGUGAAUUAUCACAAAUAAAAACAUAUAACUGUUAGCUGAUGGUUAUAUGUACGGUAACGACAAAUACAACUAGGGGAUGUCGAUGAUAACUGUACAGAUAUCUGAAGCCGAUAUCCACACCCCGAGGUCAUGGCGUCGCCCGGUGUCCGCUGUGCCCCGGCGGAAAGCUCCGCUGCUCGGCAACCCCAAAGCAAGAUCAGCGACCGGCUGACCCCGAGCACAGCAGACCCCUUCAGCAGCCCACGAAAGGCGCAGUCGCCGUUUGCCGCUGUCUACGCCAAAGGAGGUAUACCCUGCAGAUUGGUCCAUGGAUCUGUUAAACACAAGUUACACUGGGAAACUCCUCCAGAAUCCAUUGCCUUUGACCCACUGCUUGUGAUCCUUGCUGAGGGUUUGAGAGAAACCAAAUACCCUUACACAUUUGUGUCCAGAGAGGGUUUCAGGGAGUUACUCCUGGUAGAGGGCGCCAGUGAGAAAAUCAGGCCACUCCUUCCGAAGGUGGUUCCUGCACUUAGAGCGGCUCUGGCCCAUGAAGACACUGAGGUCUUUGAGAGAGGGCUAGACGGUCUCCUACAGCUCAGUGGCAUGGCACGAUGUGACCUCAAUGGCCACCUGAAGCAUGUGCUUGCCUGUAUCUCAAAGAAAUUCAUGCAGAAGAAACACAGGGAGAAGGUGACCUUGGCCCUACAGACACUGGAGAGGAAUGGAGGCAAGGAGAGCCUACCAAUUAUAAAGUCCAAGGUGCCAACAUACAGCUCAGUUUAUUUCUGAAGAUACCAGAACACCUGAGCACCUUUGAUACAGCUCAUGGCCAAACAAACUUCUCCUCUCCCGAGGGAGUUACUCUUCUUGAGGUAUCUGUCCUUGCUUUAGUCGUGGCCAAUGCUACACUAUGCAUUGCAACUAUAAUAGGAAUUUGCAUACUGUUCAACAAAGUUAGUCAGAUCAGGAUGAAGAUUGCAGAGAAUGAAACUGUCACUGACCGUCGCAUCACACAAAAUGGGUCUAAGCCUUUUCAGGAGAACAAUGAGAUGCACAAUGAGAGCCCAGAUCCUACCAAUCAGGCACCAACACGGCCUUCGUCCUUCAAACUCCCAAACACAGAGAAGCGGGAAUCGAGCCAGCUGUCAGAGCACUCUUCCAGCAUGCAGGGCUCAGAUCCUACCCUGUUUCGACAACUCUCCCCUCCUGACUAUGAAUACACCAUGUCCAGAAGGUUCAGACAAGGCAAUGUGUCCCAGCAUCUGCCCGAGGAGGACAUGUCCACCAUCGACUUGACCCUAGAUGAUGACCCAAACUCCCCGUACAUGCAUAUGAGGUCUUGUGGGAUCGACAGUCUUAUCCCAGGCAUGGCUGAUGAGGACAUCUACGAUAUUCCCCGAUACUCCUCUGCUAGCUGCAUCUGCUUUACCCGAGUAGACCAAGCAUCUCUGAAAAGAGCCAAGCAGUCUAGGUACCGUUCUGACCCCAACAGUUACCCUUUGUCUUCUGUUCUCAGCAGCCUGCAAAUGAGUAAUGGUGAAUCGCUUGGUGCUUGCUCUCCAGACAGCUCCAGGGACUCUGGGCAGGGGACUAUCAGUAGCUCGCAGAGUCUCAGGUUUGAGAUGAGUGACCCAGGGUCAACGGGUAGAACAGAGAAGCUCUCCAACUCUAUGUUUACGAAGGCAGCAUGUCCUCAGAAGCGAAAUGCAAACUCAUCUACUCGGAAUCAGAAACAGCCACCAAUUGCAAUCUAGUUUGAAAACCAAAACAAAAUCCUAUUAACAGAUUAACCAUACAAUUAUCCUUUAUAGAGAGUACAAUUUUGCCUGCUAUUCGCAACAUCUGAUAUCUGAUAAUCUGAUAUUGGUUAGCACUGCUGCCUUCCAUCUUUGGGGUUAAGGUUCAAGUCUCUACCAGGGUUCCAUAUACUGUACUCUGUACUCCCAAUGAACAGGACAAGCAGUUACAGAAAAUAGAUGGGUUACCCACAGGAUAUUGUUUAUAGUUUUAUUUCAGACAAAAGGUUUUAAAAUAGUUUGGGUUAUUUUUACACCAAUCAUGUAAAAUUUGUAAAUGUAGAGGUUUUAAGUGAGAACAGAAACCACCAGGAAUGCAUGAUUAGUAAUGAUGACUAUUCAUGAAACUGUUAUUUAUCUUCCCUGCAUGGACUAAUUCUAUUUGUUAGUUUGUUUGGGUCUCCAGGCCCAGGUAUAGACCAUCUCCAUUUGCCCUGCUACAUUUAUUGAAGUGUUACAAAAGAAGUUUGUUCAAUAAGUAUGAUCCCUGACAGGACACACUCCCACACCUUUCACACCUACAGGCAGGUUUGGUACCUCCCAUUCACACCUACAGGCAGUUUGGUACCUCCCAUUCACACCUACAGGCAGUGUGGUACCUCCCAUUCACACCUACAGGCAGUUUGGUACCUCCCAUUCACCUCAGGCUGUUUUGGGACUGUGCAUUACCCAGAGGAAACCCCACAGUGACCGGAGAGCAUGCACACUCCACACACAGAGCCACGGCAGAGACUCAUAACCUGAUCCCACAGGUGUGAGGCAACAGUGCCAACCACUGCACCGAAGCUUUCUUUUGUUUCAUCAAGAUAUAUUUUUAUAUCCUUCUAGUUCAUCAUGAGUAAAAAUCUUUUAUUGUAUGUUAUUAAAUAUUGUCAUUGGCUAAAAAAAAUAUAUUUAUUGGUUGAACCUAAAAUGUGUUAGGGGAAAUGAUCGAAGCAGAAGCUAUUAUAGACCUGCCAUUAAACCAGUCAAAAUAGUGAUAAGAUAGAAGAGUUCAUUAUCAUUGCUUUCCCCUCCAUAGUCACCUCUCUGACAUGUUUUCUGUGCUCAUGUGAUCAAGCUGUAUCUCAGAUUUCUAACACACAUGCACUCUUCCCCAUAUUCCAUUAUGCAAAUGUUGUCAAGUGUCAGAAAUACAUGAUGCCACUCUUUAAUAGCA